RNAcentral lists this transfer RNA (76 nucleotides) under Pseudobdellovibrionaceae bacterium. RNAcentral's name for it is "Bdellovibrionaceae bacterium tRNA-Val". It matches the Rfam family "tRNA". Rfam says of the family: Transfer RNA (tRNA) molecules are approximately 80 nucleotides in length. Their secondary structure includes four short double-helical elements and three loops (D, anti-codon, and T loops). Lineage: Bacteria; Pseudomonadati; Bdellovibrionota; Bdellovibrionia; Bdellovibrionales; Pseudobdellovibrionaceae. The record is from RNAcentral.
AGGGAGUUAGCUCAGUUGGUAGAGCGCCACCCUUACAAGGUGGAUGUCGUCGGUUCGAACCCGGCACUCCCUACCA